CUACGGGUGGCAGCAGUGGGGAAUAUUGGACAAUGGGGGAAACCCUGAUCCAGCAAUGCCGCGUGUGUGAAGAAGGCCUGCGGGUUGUAAAGCACUUUCGGUUGGGAGGACUGCUUCUAGCACUAAUAUUGUUGGAAGUUGACGUUACCUUCAGAAGAAGCACCGGCUAACUCCGUGCCAGCAGCCGCGGUAAUACGGAGAGUGCAAGCGUUAAUCGGAAUUACUGGGCGUAAAGCGCGCGUAGGUGGCUAGAUCAGUCGGGUGUGAAAGCCCCGGGCUUAACCUGGGAACUGCAUCCGAUACUGUCUAGCUUGAGUACAGGAGAGGAGAGUGGAAUUCCACAUGUAGCGGUGAAAUGCGUAGAUAUGUGGAGGAACACCAAUGGCGAAGGCAGCUCUCUGGCCUGAUACUGACGCUGAGGUGCGAAAGCGUGGGGAGCAAACAGGAUUAGAUACCCGAGUAGUC
Molecule: ribosomal RNA, 465 nt
Filed under: uncultured bacterium
Lineage: Bacteria
Description: partial 16S ribosomal RNA
Rfam family: Bacterial small subunit ribosomal RNA
Source: RNAcentral